GUGGGCUUUGCCUGCUAUCUCUUACCCAUGUCUUUUGAGUACUUACGUUUCCUCGGUGGGUUCGCCCGCCGAUUGGACAAUUUAAACCCUUUGCAGUUGCAAUCAGCGUCUGAAAAACAUAAUAGUUACAACUUUCAACAACGGAUCUCUUGGUUCUGGCAUCGAUGAAGAACGCAGCGAAAUGCGAUAAGUAGUGUGAAUUGCAGAAUUCAGUGAAUCAUCGAAUCUUUGAACGCACAUUGCGCCCCUUGGUAUUCCAUGGGGCAUGCCUGUUCGAGCGUCAUUUGUACCUUCAAGCUUUGCUUGGUGUUGGGUGUUUGUCUCGCCUUUGCGUGUAGACUCGCCUUAAAACAAUUGGCAGCCGGCGUAUUGAUUUCGGAGCGCAGUACAUCUCGCGCUUUGCACUCAUAACGACGACGUCCAAAAGUACUUUUUUACACUCUUGACCUCGGAUCAGGUAGGGAUACCCGCUGAACUUAAGCAUAUCAAUAAGCGGAGGAA
RNAcentral lists this ribosomal RNA (501 nucleotides) under Phoma herbarum. RNAcentral's name for it is "eukaryotic LSU rRNA". The stretch from base 130 to 283 matches the Rfam family "5.8S ribosomal RNA". The record is from RNAcentral. Lineage: Eukaryota; Fungi; Ascomycota; Dothideomycetes; Pleosporales; Didymellaceae.